AUGCCGGCCGCUUCGUCGUCGGCCACGGCAACGCCGGCAACCAGCCGCGGCGGCAGUCGGGUCUCCGCUUUCACGAUGCGCGCGGUGGCGCGCAUGUCGAGGGCGCGGUGGUUCAUCUUCCUGAGGCGGGUAUACCAGUACCAGAACGGCCCGAGGUCUGACCUGGGCUCCAACCCUUUCAACUCAUCCGGCUGGCUCGCUCUUGAGCUCGGCGUGAUCGUCGCGCAGAUGGUCAUCACCACCACCGUUGUGGCCACCUCCCCAAAGGAACGCCCCGCGUGGCCGCUUCGGCUCUGGGUCUGCGCGUACAACGUCGGCAACGUGCUCAGCCUCCCACUCCUCUACUGGCGCCACCGACAUUCAUCGGCCGCCGGACGAGGCGACGACCCCGAGAUGCACGGUGCCGGUGACGCUCUAAGGAACAGCUCGUAUCUGAUGAACAAGGCUCGGGCGUUCCUGGAGCUCUUCUUCGCGAUGUGGUUUGUGAUGGGCAACGUGUGGGUGUUCGACGCGCGGCUCGGGUCGUUCCACCGCGCCCCGCGGCUGUACGCGCUCUGCAUCGGCCUGCUCGCGUGGAACGCCGUCGUCUACUCGCUCCCCUUCCUCCUCUUCCUCCUGCUCUGCUGCUUCGUCCCGGUCGUCGGGUACGCGCUCGGGUACAACAUGAACUCGGCCUCGGUCGGCCGAGGCGCCUCCGACGAGCAGCUGGACGCGCUGCCGCGGUGGCGGUUCAAGGAGCCCGACGUGCCGAGAGACCGCGAGAAGGACGAUCAAGAGUGCUGCAUAUGCCUGGCGCAGUACAGGGAGAAAGAGGAGGUGAGGCAGCUGCCCUGCACACACAUGUUCCACCUGAAAUGCGUGGACAGGUGGCUGAGGAUCAUCUCCUCUUGCCCUCUCUGCAAGCAAGAGCUCAGCUGA
RNAcentral lists this ribosomal RNA (918 nucleotides) under Triticum aestivum (bread wheat). RNAcentral describes it as "partial small subunit ribosomal RNA". Lineage: Eukaryota; Viridiplantae; Streptophyta; Magnoliopsida; Poales; Poaceae. The record is from RNAcentral.